GGGCCAUUAGCUCAGUAGGUAGAGCACCUCCCUUUUAAGGAGGUUGUCUGGUGUUCGAAUCACCAAUGGCUCA
This 73-nucleotide transfer RNA is filed under the name Treponema sp. CETP13. RNAcentral describes it as "tRNA-Lys". It matches the Rfam family "tRNA". Rfam says of the family: Transfer RNA (tRNA) molecules are approximately 80 nucleotides in length. Their secondary structure includes four short double-helical elements and three loops (D, anti-codon, and T loops). Lineage: Bacteria; Pseudomonadati; Spirochaetota; Spirochaetia; Treponematales; Treponemataceae. The record is from RNAcentral.